UACGUAGGGGGCUAGCGUUAUCCGGAAUUAUUGGGCGUAAAGAGCGCGCAGGUGGUUGAUUAAGUCUGAUGUGAAAGCCCACGGCUUAACCGUGGAGGGUCAUUGGAAACUGGUCGACUUGAGUGCAGAAGAGGGAAGUGGAAUUCCAUGUGUAGCGGUGAAAUGCGUAGAGAUAUGGAGGAACACCAGUGGCGAAGGCGGCUUCCUGGUCUGUAACUGACACUGAGGCGCGAAAGCGUGGGGAGCAAACAGGAUUAGAUAU
Molecule: ribosomal RNA, 262 nt
Filed under: uncultured prokaryote
Description: partial 16S ribosomal RNA
Rfam family: Bacterial small subunit ribosomal RNA
Source: RNAcentral